UUAUAUAGCUUAUGUUCAAGUUGUAACGUGGUAUAACAAAAUGGAAUUUAAAAAAAUUUUUCGAUUUGUAUUAAUAGCAACAACUUUUUUAUUCAAUUACAUUUAUUGUAAAAAUCACAAAAUGCACGAAAAGUGGUUCGAGCACACGUCAAAAGUGAGUCAAUUCAACUGCAGGGUUCCUCAAGCAAGAAGUUUUAAAAGUGAUGAAAUAUUGGAAAAACAUAUAGUUAAUUCAGCAAGGACAAUAUUUCCAUCAUCUACAGUCCUACAUCGAUGUGAUCGAGCCGGGUGCUGCCAGGGUGGAAAACACUGUUCACCAAUAGCCAUUGAAAUGGUUAAUUUAGUGUUUUUAAUUACCACUGGCAAUGAGCAAAAUCUAUCAUAUCCUACUGUUGAAGCUGUGAAUCAUACCAUUUGUGGAUGUGAACAUACCCGUGAUAGACCUAAAUAAGAAAUUCAGUGACUAGUUUGUGUAUGAACUAUUUUUUUAAUUUAUCUGUGAUAUUUAUAAUACCUGUUAUCUCUGUUUGUUAUUUUUUGUAAGUAUGUUAAUAAAUUAUUUUAUAAUUGCAUAA
Long non-coding RNA from Zophobas morio, 575 nucleotides. RefSeq lists it as uncharacterized. Lineage: Eukaryota; Metazoa; Arthropoda; Insecta; Coleoptera; Tenebrionidae. The record is from RefSeq and is a predicted model, not a curated record. The transcript has 2 exons.